AUUGAACGCUGGCGGAAUGCUUUACACAUGCAAGUCGAACGGCAGCACGGACUUCGGUCUGGUGGCGAGUGGCGAACGGGUGAGUAAUACAUCGGAACGUGCCCAAUCGUGGGGGAUAACGUAGCGAAAGCUACGCUAAUACCGCAUACGAUCUAAGGAUGAAAGCGGGGGAUCGCAAGACCUCGCGCGAUUGGCGCGGCCGAUGGCAGAUUAGGUAGGUGGUAGGGUAAAGGCCUACCAAGCCGACGAUCUGUAGCUGGUCUGAGAGGAUGAUCAGCCACACUGGGACUGAGACACGGCCCAGACUCCUACGGGAGGCAGCAGUGGGGAAUUUUGGACAAUGGACGCAAGUCUGAUCCAGCCAUUCCGCGUGCAGGAUGAAGGCCCUCGGGUUGUAAACUGCUUUUGUACAGAACGAAAAGGCUCUGGUUAAUACCUAGGGCUCAUGACGGUACUGUAAGAAUAAGCACCGGCUAACUACGUGCCAGCCGCCGCGGUAA
RNAcentral lists this ribosomal RNA (500 nucleotides) under uncultured bacterium. Its description in RNAcentral is "partial 16S ribosomal RNA". It matches the Rfam family "Bacterial small subunit ribosomal RNA", at positions 30 to 523 of the family's 1533-position model. The record is from RNAcentral.